Long non-coding RNA from Cucumis melo (muskmelon), 230 nucleotides. RefSeq lists it as uncharacterized. The transcript is spliced from 2 exons. The record is from RefSeq and is a predicted model, not a curated record. NCBI's taxonomy places the organism in Eukaryota, Viridiplantae, Streptophyta, Magnoliopsida, Cucurbitales, Cucurbitaceae.
CAUAGACAUGAUUUGAAUGAUUCGACGGGAUCACUCGUAGCCCGAUUGUCUUAGGUGUUCCCUUGGGUUCACCAGAGACUAGCUUGUUCCUCGGGAUCAUACAUUGCACGUGUUCGGGAACGUGCCAUUUCAGCGGUAGAGGCAGAGGUAAGAGCAAAGGCAAGCUGGCGAAUGGUCAGAAGUGAUCGUGGCAAGCCAUAGGGACACGUUUGCUUCCGCUUACGCAUGUG